Molecule: ribosomal RNA, 504 nt
Filed under: uncultured bacterium
Lineage: Bacteria
Description: partial 16S ribosomal RNA
Rfam family: Bacterial small subunit ribosomal RNA
Source: RNAcentral
GAUGAACGCUAGCGGCAGGCUUAAUACAUGCAAGUCGUGGGGCAGCAGGGUUGUAGCAAUACAAUCGCUGGCGACCGGCAAACGGGUGCGUAACACGUACGCAACCUUCCCGUUACUGUGGCAUAGCCCAGGGAAACUUGGAUUAAUACCACAUAUUAUAUUGAGGGGGCAUCCCUUUGAUAUCAAAGCUUCGGCGGUAACGGAUGGGCGUGCGGUUGAUUAGGUAGUUGGCGGGGUAACGGCCCACCAAGCCUACGAUCAAUAGCUGAUGUGAGAGCAUGAUCAGCCACACGGGCACUGAGACACGGGCCCGACUCCUACGGGAGGCAGCAGUAAGGAAUAUUGGGCAAUGGACGAAAGUCUGACCCAGCCAUGCCGCGUGAAGGAUUAAGGUCCUCUGGAUUGUAAACUUCUUUUCUCUGGGGCGAAAACCAGCUAUUCUUAGCUAUUUGACAGUACCAGAGGAAUAAGCACCGGCUAACUCCGUGCCAGCAGCCGCGGUAA